This 496-nucleotide ribosomal RNA is filed under the name uncultured bacterium. Its description in RNAcentral is "partial 16S ribosomal RNA". It matches the Rfam family "Bacterial small subunit ribosomal RNA", at positions 29 to 507 of the family's 1533-position model. The record is from RNAcentral.
AUGCACGCUGGCGGCGUGCCUCAUACAUGCAAGUCGAGCGCACAGAUGAGGAGCUUGCUCCUCUGACGUUAGCGGCGGACGGGUGAGUAACACGUGGAUAACCUACCUAUAAGACUGGGAUAACUUCGGGAAACCGGAGCUAAUACCGGAUAAUAUAUUGAACCGCAUGGUUCAAUAGUGAAAGACGGUUUUGCUGUCACUUAUAGCUGGAUCCGCGCCGCAUUAGCUAGUUGGUAAGGUAACGGCUUACCAAGGCAACGAUGCGUAGCCGACCUGAGAGGGUGAUCGGCCACACUGGAACUGAGACACGGUCCAGACUCCUACGGGAGGCAGCAGUAGGGAAUCUUCCGCAAUGGGCGAAAGCCUGACGGAGCAACGCCGCGUGAGUGAUGAAGGUCUUCGGAUCGUAAAACUCUGUUAUUAGGGAAGAACAAAUGUGUAAGUAACUAUGCACGUCUUGACGGUACCUAAUCAGAAAGCCACGGCUAACUACGUG